AAGAAAGUGACGGAGUGGUUACGUGGCCGGCUUGAAACCGGCACAUGGGGGUUCAAUUCCUCCCUUUCUCG
This 71-nucleotide transfer RNA is filed under the name Puntigrus tetrazona (Sumatra barb). RNAcentral describes it as "tRNA-Ser". It matches the Rfam family "tRNA". Rfam says of the family: Transfer RNA (tRNA) molecules are approximately 80 nucleotides in length. The record is from RNAcentral. Lineage: Eukaryota; Metazoa; Chordata; Actinopteri; Cypriniformes; Cyprinidae.